RNAcentral lists this ribosomal RNA (442 nucleotides) under uncultured bacterium. Its description in RNAcentral is "bacterial SSU rRNA". It matches the Rfam family "Bacterial small subunit ribosomal RNA", at positions 340 to 773 of the family's 1533-position model. The record is from RNAcentral.
UACGGAAGGCAGCAGUGGGGAAUAUUGCACAAUGGGCGCAAGCCUGAUGCAGCCAUGCCGCGUGUAUGAAGAAGGCCUUCGGGUUGUAAAGUACUUUCAGUCGUGAGGAAGGUGUUAAGGUUAAUAACCUUAGCAAUUGACGUUAGCGACAGAAGAAGCACCGGCUAACUCCGUGCCAGCAGCCGCGGUAAUACGGAGGGUUGCGAGCGUUAAUCGGAAUUACUGGGCGUAAAGGGCACGCAGGCGGUUAAUUAAGUUGGAUGUGAAAUCCCCGGGCUUAACCUGGGAAUGGCAUUCAAGACUGGUUAGCUAGAGUCUUGUAGAGGGGGUUAGAAUUCCAUGUGUAGCGGUGAAAUGCGUAGAGAUGUGGAGGAAUACCGGUGGCGAAGGCGGCCCCUGGACAAAGACCUGACGCUCAUGUGCGAAAGCGUGGGGAGCAAAC